Molecule: transfer RNA, 113 nt
Filed under: Thermoanaerobaculia bacterium
Lineage: Bacteria; Pseudomonadati; Acidobacteriota; Thermoanaerobaculia
Description: tRNA-Thr
Source: RNAcentral
GCCGCAAAACGCCCGGACUUGGACAGAACGCCAUGGAUAACCCAUUGAUAGAUCGUGGCCGCGACUGUUUCGUAAUCAGUAGGUCCGCGGUUCAAAUCCGCGUUGCGGCACCA